RNAcentral lists this long non-coding RNA (19032 nucleotides) under Triticum aestivum (bread wheat). RNAcentral describes it as "long non-coding RNA (TAES_LNC019855)". The record is from RNAcentral. Lineage: Eukaryota; Viridiplantae; Streptophyta; Magnoliopsida; Poales; Poaceae.
CGGCCCCGCUACUGUCCACGUGGAUAAGUGGAAGCGUACUUCGCAGAAGUACGUUUUCGCCUUCAGAAAGCGUAUUUCUCUUCUGCUCCAGUCGUAAGUGCGCUUUCAUAGUUUGAAAACGUAUUUUCUUCUUAGGCGCCUUCUGUUUUCUCACUCAGGGGCCUGUGUGUAGAGAUUCUUUUACAAAUCGGUCCCUGAACUUCGUCGGGCUAUAUCUUUUUACUCCCAACUCCAAAUGAGGUGAUUCCAAAGCCCAUUUCUUCGUCUCGUCGAGCCCGUUCUGUUGGUUUCAUUUCCACUAUGGUUUGACACUGUGAAAAUGACCCCUUUUGCCCUUGCCCGUAAACAGCCCCUCCGAGAGAGAACUGUUUCCGGCAAAUCUUUCCGCGAGAUUCUCGCACGUCUUCCCGGUGUUUUCUUCAUCCCCAAGGAAGCCACAAUACCCACUUGCAUGAUAGUCAUGCAGUAGCCAUGGUUUUCAACUUGAAUAUUUAUUAAAUGAUUGCUUGUUUAAAAUAUAGUUAUCGUUGUUUUGGUAAUGCUUCUGGGUUAGUGCUUACUUGCUUGCUAUGUUGUUAUGCACCUGGUUAUCAUGCCCUGCUAGUUGCUAGUAUUACUUUCAUAUUUCCAUGCUUGAUAGUAGUACAUGUUGGGUUGGUCAUGUUCUUCGGUGCAUGACUAACGUCGGUUAUCGAGUACUGUUAAUAUGCGUUGUUCCUUUGCUGUUAGUUGGUUAAGUGUUACUCGGUAAUAUUAUUGAUGAGUUCUUGCAUGGUAUUUAUAGUUGAUGUGAGUGGUCAUGUUUUACUAUGAGUAGUGUUGCACUUGUAUUAUUUAUGCUCAUCAUUAUGCCAUGUUCAGUUGGAGAUUAUUCAUAGUUGAUAUGGUGGAUCGUUAUGUUGUACCCUCAUGCUUAUGUUGAUCUCACACUAGUAGAAAACAGGGCUUUGGUCACAGGGCAGUUUUCACAUUAGUCCCGGUUCAGUCACGAACCGGGACUAAUGUGAGCAUUUAUCCCGGUUCGUGCGGCUAAGGCAUUAGUCCCGGUUCACCUGGGCCCUUUAGUCCCGGUUGGUGCCACGAACCGGGACUAAAGGGUGUGAUGCCCAUUAGUCCCGGUUGGUGGCACCAACCNNNNNNNNNNNNNNNNNNNNNNNNNNNNNNNNNNNNNNNNNNNNNNNNNNNNNNNNNNNNNNNNNNNNNNNNNNNNNNNNNNNNNNNNNNNNNNNNNNNNNNNNNNNNNNNNNNNNNNNNNNNNNNNNNNNNNNNNNNNNNNNNNNNNNNNNNNNNNNNNNNNNNNNNNNNNNNNNNNNNNNNNNNNNNNNNNNNNNNNNNNNNNNNNNNNNNNNNNNNNNNNNNNNNNNNNNNNNNNNNNNNNNNNNNNNNNNNNNNNNNNNNNNNNNNNNNNNNNNNNNNNNNNNNNNNNNNNNNNNNNNNNNNNNNNNNNNNNNNNNNNNNNNNNNNNNNNNNNNNNNNNNNNAAGAAAAUGAUGGAAGUGUCAAAAAAAUAAAAUAAAAUAAGUUUCCCAUGUGAUAUAUGGUCUAGUUGUUGGGAAAAUUAACAAAUAUGAAUUUCGACUUUAUUUGCAAAAUCUCUCUGGAAUUUCUUAAAAUGGCAUAACUUUUGCAUACGAACUCGGAUGAAAAAGUUUUUUAUAUGAAAAAUCAUCUACUCGAAAAGUUACAUCCAAAUUUAACCGGGGGAACCCCGUUAAACAUUUUCAAAAUCCUCAAAAACCUAACAGAAAAAAAAGAUACGGGGCUUUUAAGAUCUGGAGAGGCAAAAAAAUUCAAAAAAAUUCAAAUUGUGGUCAAACUGUGGUCAAACAAUGGUCAAACUAAUUAUUCUAAAAUAUUAGUGUUACUAAAUAAUUAUUUCAGUUGUUUUGAAUUUUGGUCAAAUCUGGUAAAACUGUGGUCAAAUCUGGUUAAACUGUGGUCAAACAAUGGUCAAACUAAUUAUUCCAGAAAUAUUAGUGUUACUAAAUAAUUAUUGUUUUUUAAAACAAUAGUUUCAAACUCAAACAGUGAGUUCAUGCUCAAGCUAAAUUCCUGAGGGUUAAUAGGAUUGACAUCUUACUAUUGUCAGGAAAACAACAUGUGCAGACUUGGAAACGAGGGAGAAUAGAACCCGGAAGUUAGGCGUGCUCAGGCUGGAGUAGUGAGAGGAUGGGUGACCAUCCAGGAAGUUAGAUGAUUUGGAAUGAUGAGGGGUGAUUAGAGAUUAGAGGAUAAAUUGAGCAGUGAUGAGGGGUGGUGAUUAGAGAUUAGAGGUUAAAAUAAUUCAAAAUUUCAAAAUAAAAAAAAAUAAAAAAAAUUCGCAAAAAUAAUUUCAAAAAAAAUCAUAAAAUUUCCUUUAGUCCCGGUUGGUAACACCAACCGGGACUAAAGGUGGAGCUCCAGUCUGCGUCCACGUGGACGGCCUUUAGUCCCGGUUCGUGUAAGAACCGGGACUAAAGGGGGGAGGCAUUAGUAACGACCCUUUAGUCCCGGUUCAAAAACCGGGACUAAAGGCCCUUACCAACCGGGACAAAAGCCCCCUUUUCUACUAGUGUCAUGCUCAUGCUUUGUAUAUGCAUCAUGUUAUUUUAUCAUGGCUCAGCAUAUUGCAUUCAAGUUUAACCGGAUUAAAUUGAACUUGAACAACUGUUGGCUGAGUCAUGGUGCCACCAUAUCGAAACUGACCAGUGCAACCACGCUUACCUUAUGGGAAGGUCCUAACUGGGUCUAUUGUCGUGCCUCUCGCCGGUGCCUCCAACGAGGGAAGGUUAUGGGCACGCGCUACCCUAAUCAGGUAGGAUUGUGUGUCUGUUGUUGUUAUUAUGGAUACGGUCCCCGUGAGGGACGUUUUGGCCACGACGGUGGUUGUUGUGUCUUUGGUAGACACGGGGCCACCCAGGACUAGCCUAGUUGGGAGUGGGUCGGAGUGGCCGGGAGAGUGUCAUGGCAAUAGAUCGGUUUUGUUGGAACGUCGUUGGUCCACCCGAAUGGGAGUGCGAGGCCAUGGGUUCCGUGGUGUGGGUACAGUGUACUAACCUCUGCAGAGUGUAUAUUAAAUCUAUCGAUAGCCGCUUCCGCGGAUAAGGGCCCAGUUCGUGUCGGUCACACUGUGAGUCAACAGUAUUAAUAAUAACUUGAUUAAUGACAACCCCGGUUCGAUGAUGAGAUAAGUUGGUUGUGAUCGCCGGAAAGAUCACCGUUUGAGACCAAGUGUUGGUCAUGGUUGUGAUCACCGAAAUGAUCACCGUGGUAUCGAGGAUACCGAGUUGUUGGAUAUUCGUGAUGUUGUGCGAGAAUCAUGGGUAAAGAUCAAGCUCCUUGUGGUCAUUUAAUGAUUACUACGGUAUUGUUGAUACCAAGCUUGAUUUGAUCCUGAGAUGAUUGUGUGAUGUCCGAGGUUGGUAAGUGAUGCAUGUGAUGGUUACGUAGUAAGCCGAGCAGAAUAAAUAGUGCAUAUAGUGUCUUCAUGUUGCAUGCUAGUAUCGUCGAAUUCAUAUGUUCAUGCUAUGCUCAUGUUGUUCUAGCUGUAUCAUGUUCAUGUUGCGCAAGUCAUGUUGUUAUGAGGAUCUCAUGUUAAUUCCUGCUUAACCUGUAAAUGCCAUGCUGAUGUUUGUCUUGAAUGCUUCUGGUUAAUGUGAGCUUGCAAGUACAUUCAAUGUACUGACCUGGCAUGUCAUGCCAGCUUGCAGGUCGUGCCUGGAUUUCUUGCUUGUUUGGUGUUGUUCCUGUGUUUGCGAGCUAGGAUAAGCAUUCCAGCCAGAGUCCCUGCGGAGUGGAGUUCACCACCGUCGUCGUUGUUCCGCCGCCAGUAGUUGUUGCGCUGCCUCAACUUGCUAUGCUACUUGCAUAGAGCAACUGAGGAUGGCGUAGUGUCGUCGUGCCGAUGUUAUUCAUUGUAAUAUCGGAGACCUUGUAUUCAUAUUCGUGUAUUAAUAGAAAGCUGGUUUGUUCUAUGCUAAGCAGUGCCGUAUUCCAGAAGACUUCACCUCGAUCUCUAGGCUGGAAUACGGGGCGUUCCGGUUUUCUCUGAGCCGGGGUGCCACAGGCUUGGUAUCAGAGCAGGUCUGGCUGUAGGAUGCCCUAGCCCGCCCGAACGUUAGAAAGCAGUAGUAUAGACCCCAGUUGGUUUGUUGCAUUUGUUUGUCGCAUAGCAUGUAUAUAGAUUAUUAUUUUGUCACUAACGGUUGAUCUUGUGAGUGUAGGCGGCAUCGUUUUCGGUCCACCGCCUGCACCCUCCUUCUUAGCAUGCCUGCUCUUUGGUGUGAUUCGACCACAUCAUCAUCCAUUGCCCUCCAUCUUGUUCUUUUGGCAACCCUUGCUGAUCUUUGUUAUCAGAAAAGGGUAAUGCCAUUAAACCCCGUCUUCCACUGUUAUCUUGCCUUGUCAUUUCAUUCUUUGGACGGGUACGAUUCCCUUCGUACGCUUGAUGAUUAGGUGGUCGUGACUUUUGUGUCUAGCUACUUGAUCGUCAAGUCCGUCCUCACCUGUGUAUCCAUCCAGAUCCAGCCACUGUUCAGCCAGUGCUUGGUGUAGCUUCGGUUACGCCAACUCCUUCCACACAUGGAUAUAAUUUUCGUGCACACCGCCACAGCAUAUUAGACCGUAGUACCGGAGUUUCCAUGCGAUUAGUGUGCUUAGGUGUGCAUGCAUAUUAUGGUGUGAGUAGCAGUAAUAUGUGAAGAUUGCUUGAUUAAUUAUAUUAGUAGUAUGCUUGUGUGCUUUUGUUUUAGUUAUAUCUUUUGUUUCUUUCUUUGGGCCUUUGGUGUUACAAAUUUUCCCCUAUUAAAGUUGCUCGUCAGCCGACACCGGACACGAAGAGUCAGCAAGAAAUGCAUAUAUUUGGAAACUCGGUUAAACAAGAAUGGAAUUGUCAGCAGACUGCAGUGAAAUUGGAAAUAGCUCGUCUGAAUACAAAAGAAAUCCUGGAUGGAAUGUCAGUAUAAAGUUUGCAUUAACAUGCACUCCUCACAACAGUAUGGAAUUCUUAGCCGACUGCAUUCAGAUUGGGGGAUAUCUGGUCAUGUUACUGAGUGUCAAGUCUCCCUCAGCGUGUACUCCUCAUAGCACAAAUGAUCAAAUCAGCAAGAAGAUAAAUUGUGUGCAUGGUUGAUAAAAUAUUAUCAAAGGUAUGGCUCAGAUACAAGUUUAAUUUUUCGUUGAGGAUGAUUUUGGAACCCGAUGUACCUGGAAGCAAGCAAAAAUAUGGCAUGUACUCAGAAAGGAGGAUAGUCCUGCAAAGCCCCGUUUCAUACAAGAAAUCAAGAACAAAAAUUUUAAGAUGGUUAUAUAUGUGGAAAUCGGUUCGCAUACCACAAUAAGAAGCUUCUGGUGUAAGAAACCCAAUCUUCCCUCGCAAGAUACCCGAGAAGCUUCCAAGGCAAGAUUCAUCUAUCUUCCUCAGUACGAUACAUGGAUGAUUUCCCGUACAAGGUACUUUGCCUUCUUCAGUAAGCUACCGCAAAAGCUUCCGGCAUAAGGUACCGAGUCUUUCCCCAGCAAAGUCUUUAAGGGGGUAAGCUUCUGAAGCACGAUACCCAGUCUUCUUCAGCAAGCUGUCCGAUGAAAGUUUCGAGCACAAACCAGCCAAUCUUCCUCAGUAAGACAUUGGUACAAGGUAGUAUGAUGUGAAUUGAUAGCAUAUGGCAGUGAAUCCCAAGAAUCAGAUCUGCAACAUUUAGGUCAGAAGCAAGAAUCAGUCAGAAUACAUGUCUGUCUCGGGAAUCAGAUUCUCAUAUAUAUGCGGUGAGCAUACCAGCAAGAUCUUACAAGUCACUCAGAUGAGGAUAUGACAACCACGUAAGGAUGGUUAAGAGAAGAAAGCCAGUAUACACCGCAGUGUGACAAAGGAUUAUGAGGAUUGACGACAUCAAUGGCUCAAUGCAAGUACCUGUGAACCUGGAAAAUGAUCCUGAUGAGCCCUUGUCCCCUUUUUUCUCCAAUGAUGGCACCAUGCCUGUGAUCUAAGCUGUUUUUAGCUAUCCUGGGUGGAUGCCGAUUUUUUAUUUCUCUCUUCAACGACUGUCACGAGUUCUGAGCUGCUUUUCGGCCGUCUCGUACAGCUGUUGAGUUUCUUUUUGUGACAGUAGCCCUAUAGCUGCUUUUUGGCUAUUUUAGGGAGCUGCCACCUUCUUCUUAUCAACCCGAUCUCAUGUUCUGAGCUGCUUUUCGGCCGUCCUGCGCCAUGGUUGAUUUAUUUCAGUAAUGUCCCAGAUCUGAGUUGUAAAGACCGUUCUGGUGGCUACUGAUUUAUUUGCCGAUUUCUUGCAAAGGUUCGGAUGAUCAUUUUCCUGCGGUCAGAACUUGAGGGGUGUUGAACCUGCCAUUUAAUGGGGUACCCUGUCAGAAAAAUGAGGAUAAGCUGCGAUUGCCGAAAAAUUGCACUGACAGUACCUAUGGUGAUACGAAGAAGCAAUAUGACCUAGCUCUUUCAGCCAAGGAUCCUGGCCAAGAAAACAAUAAUGAAGGAGCAAGACCAGUGAUGCAGGUAUGAAAAUUGUUGCAAGACCCGCGUGGUGCAGAACCACCGUCAGUCAAGUCUACAGAUAUUAUCAUACAAGUCAAACUCUUAUGCUAGCCACGACAGGCGACAAUCAAAUAUUUGGUACGGAUCCGAUACUCAAGACAGUGGAACCAGUUAAGAUGAUUCAGAAACUUCCACGAUAAGCCAGAAUUUGUCAGGAAAGCGGUUAUGACCCAACUCGCUGUUUGGAACCCGAAGGACCUGCAUUUAGUGGAGAAAACCAAUGCAAGGAUUUAGAGCUUGGGUGUCCACUAGAAAAAAUCUGAUCACCACUUCAUGAAAGAUUGUCAAUGCCGGAUGACACACCCAGCAGAAAUCACUCUUGGAUUUGUGAAACCGACAUAUAUUUCAGUCGUGAGAAUCCAUCACAGUCAGCUAAGUCAGCAGAUCUAAAAAGAAAUUGGAGCCUGUAUAAGCAUGAACAAGCAAGGUAAGAUCUGUCAGAAUAUGGAUAUAUUAAAGCAAACCACCCCAGGACCAGUCAGAUAAAAAUUUAGGGGGGACAAAAAUAAGAAAAAGGAUACCCGAGUUGGAAAUGAUUUCCUUAAGUCAGUAUCUUCAUACUUGUUCCCUGAGCAACCAAAUCUCGAGGACGAGAUUUCUUUAAGGGGGUAAGGUUUGUAAUAGCCUGAUUUUUGGCCCUUUCUUUUUCUUUUGUUUUUCUGAGGUUUUUGCUUGAGUUUUCUUUUUCCGUGGCUUUGUGGUCUGGAAACUGAACAAGAUGCCCUCUUGUUUAUUUCCAGAGUGGCUUGUCAUUCCCAAAUCCUUCCCUAGACCCCGUCAUUUUCAUCCUAGCCCAAAUCCCAAUAUUCUUUUUAUUGGGAAUAUUACUUUUCUACUAAAGGAAUAACUCAAGUUGCCCUAGGUUGUGAAGCAACCUUUACUUCCAUCACUCCUAAAAUUCCCAAAUAAUUCUCAUAAAUUUUUUGGGUCAUAUCUUUCCCAAAUAUGGUAAAAUAUUUCAUUUGUCAUGUUUAUCAUCAUGCUCAAAUAAUUCAUUUCCUAUUCUACCCUAAAUGGCACAUUGUGAAGCAAGUGCUAUUUUCCUUUUCCCAAGUGACCUCAAACUCCUUGGACACCUUUUCCUGUCCAUAUCAUUGCCACAUGCCAAAAUGCAACCUCAUUUGGCUAGUAAUUAUUUAAUUAUGAUUUUCCAAAGUUUCUAUCCAGAAAGAAGCUUUGUGAAGGAGGUGCAAUCUAGGCAUAUCCAAAUGAGUUUCCAUUUUGCAUGAUCCCUCAUAUCAUCAUAUCAUAGCCCUCCACCAAAGUAGAGCUCAUGUCAUGCCUCCAUGUGAGCUCAUCUUCAAUUCUUUGAUUCUGUCCAAAAUUUCAGCUUGUGAAGCAAGUAUAUUUUAUCUUGCUCCAUUAUGGCUGCCAAUUUUUCUAGGCCUUCUAUUAUCCAUAUAACCUACCUCCACCCAUUUUGGGCAUGUCUCAUCAAGCCAUUAUUUCUCUAGAAUUUUUCCAAGAUUCUGCACAGAAAUGAUGUUUGUAAAGAAAGUACCAUUUUAGCUGGUCCAUUUGGUAUGAGCUUUUUACAGCAUCUUUAUAUUUCCAUAUCAUGAGGAUUUGCCAAGUUGCAUCCCAUUCCAUAACUCCAUGUGAGUGCAUCAUCCAAAUCAAGUUUCUGGACCAAAAAUGCAGUUGCAAAGCAACCCUAUUAUUUAUUGGUCCAUUUCUUCUCUAAAUCUCCAGUAUUGUAGUUCUUCCUUAGUUAAACCUCCCAGACAACUCCUUUGACCUCAAUCAAGUCUCUGUGGAUUAGCAGUGCUCGUCCAAGUUUACUGCAGUAAACUUCAGAGCUUGAUUACCAUUUAACCAGAGAGAUUUUAACCAAACUACCACCGCAGUAGGAACCUCCCCUGGAUGAACUUGCCACUAGACAACACGCUCCAGCUCAUUUCCCCCGCUACAUGCCAGUGCACGCGGUAACCGCGUUAAUGGCAAGCCUGUGCGCGCGCUCUGCUACAAUUGGCCACACCCAGGAUGGAUUCUUGCUCGGGCCCCUCCUCCUCUCAUCGUCUUAGCACGCGUGAGCAUGUCCCUUGGCUUCACCUCGUCGUCGCCGAUCACAUGGACCCCGCUCCCCCUCCGGCAGCUUCCUCACCAACGAAAGCCGCAGCGUGCCCACGGGCGCACAGUGGCGUUUGGCUCGGUUCAUCGCCGUCGCCUUCCUCCCUGCGCUCCGUUGGCCUCCUCUGCCCCGUGAGGCACUCCACUGCUCCUCCCCCGUCGUCUACCACCGAGCUCAUGCGCGUGCACACGCGUCCGCGGCGCCGGACACGCGUCCGCGGCGGCGCCAGCGCGACACUCCCUCGCCCGGCUAUAUAUAGCCAUUCCCGCGGCCUCCCGAGCACCUCAUCAGCCUCGCCUCACUCCCAGCUUCCUCCUCGUCCACUAGCCCGGGCUCGAGCAGCUCUCCUCGACCCCCAUCGCCGCCAUGCCCGCCGCUCUGCUCAGCUCAAAUUCAAGCUGGGCAGUGCCCCUCCCCCUCUCUUUCCACCACCAGUAGACUCCUCCUCCACCUAGACUUCGCCCCCGUGCUCUCCCUCCCCUCCGGUGGCCUUCUGCCAUGAGCUCGCCGCCGACCGAAGAUCGCCGUCCGCCGCGGCUGGCCUCCCGCUCAGCCGAGCCCUACCCCGCGGCUGCAUCUUGCCUGGAUGGAUCCGCCUCGUCGCGCUGAUCACGCCGGUAGGUCGCACGCCGCGAGAGGUGGCCGGAGUGGCCGGGAAUCCGCGUCGGGCCGCCGGUCUCGUCUCUACAUCGCGGGCGAGCGGGAGGAGGAAGAAGGAGCCAGGCCAGGCGGGCCCCAUCUCCACGCGGCCCCACCUGUCGGCGGGCAGGCGUUGACCCCGCCUGCCUAGCUGGAUAAGUGAUGGGCCCCACAGCCCGUGGGACCCGCACGUCAGCGACCCCACGCCCGGCCCCGCCACUGUCCACGUGGAUAAGUGGAAGCGUACUUCGCAGAAGUACGUUUUCGCCUUCAGAAAGCGUGUUUCUCUUCUGCUCCAGUCGUAAGUGCGCUUUCAUAGUUUGAAAACUAUUUUCUUCUUAGGCGCCUUCUGUUUUCUCACUCAGGGGCCUGUUUGUAGAGAUUCUUUUACAAAUCGGUCCCUGAACUUCGUCGGGCUAUAUCUUUUUACUCCCAACUCCAAAUGAGGUGAUUCCAAAGCCCAUUUCUUUGUCUCGUCGAGCCCGUUCUGUUGGUUUCAUUUUCACUAUGGUUUGACACUGUGAAAAUGACCCUUUUUCCCUUGCCCGUAAACAGCCCCUCCGAGAGAGAACUGUUUCUGGCAAAUCUUUCCGCGAGCUUCUCGCACUUCUUCCCUGUGUUUUCUUCAUCCCCAGGCAAGCCACAAUACCCACUUGCAUGAUAGUCAUGCAGUAGCCAUGGUUUUCAACUUGAAUAUUUAUUAAAUGAUUGCUUGUUUAAAAUAUGGUUAUCGUUGUUUUGGUAAUGCUUCUGGGUUAGUGCUUACUUGCUUGAUAUGUUGUUAUGCACCUGGUUAUCAUGCCCUGCUAGUUGCUAGUAUUACUUUCAUAUUUCCAUGCUUGAUAGUAGUACAUGUUGGGUUGGUCAUGUUCUUCGGUGCAUGAUUAACGUCGGUUAUCGAGUACUGUUAAUAUGCGUUCUUCCUUUGCUGUUAGUUGGUUAAGUGUUACUCGGUAAUGUUAUUGAUGAGUUCUUGCAUGGUAUUUAUGGUUGAUGCUAGUGGUCAUGUUUUACUAUGAGUAGUGUUGCACUUGUAAUAGUUAUGCUCGUCAUUAUGCCAUGUUCAGUUGGAGAUUAUUCAUAGUUGAUAUGGUGGAUCGUUAUGUUGUACCCUCAUGCUUAUGUUGAUCUCAUGCUCAUGCUUUGUAUAUGCAUCAUGUUAUUUUAUCAUGGCUCAGCAUAUUGCAUUCAAGUUUAACCAGAUUAAGUUCAACUUGAACAACUGUUGGCUGAGUCAUGGUGCCACCAUAUCGAAACUGACCAGUGCAACCACGCUUACCUUAUGGGAAGGUCCUAACUGGGUCUAUUGUCGUGCCUCUCGCCGGUGCCUCCAACGAGGGAAGGUUAUGGGCGCGCGCUACCCUGAUCAGGUAGGCGGACAUAACCUUGUGUGCCCGUUGUUGUUAUUAUGGAUCCGGUCCCCGUGAGGGACGUUUUGGCCACGACAGUGGUCGUUGUGUCUUUGGUAGAUACGGGGCCACCCAGGACUAGCCCAGUUGGGAGUGGGUCGGAGUGGCCGGGAGAGUGUCAUGGCAAUAGAUCGGUUUUGUCGGAAUGCCAUUGGUCCACCCGAAUGGGAGUGCGAGGCCAUGGGUUCCGUGGUGUGGGUACAGUGUACUAACCUCUGCAGAGUGUAUAUUAAAUCUAUCGAUAGCCGCGCCCGCGGAUAAGGGCCCAGUUCGUGUCGGUCACACCGUGAGUCAACAGUAUUAAUAAUAACUUGAUUAAUGACAACCCCGGUUCGAUGAUGAGAUAAGUUGGUUGUGAUCGCCGGAAAGAUCACCGUUUGAGACCAAGUGUUGGUCAUGGUUGUGAUCGCCGAAAUGAUCACCGUGGUAUCGAGGAUACCGAGUUGUUGGAUAUUCGUGAUGUUGUGCGAGAAUCAUGGGUAAAGAUCAAGCUCCUUGUGGUCAUUUAAUGAUUACUACGGUAUUGUUGAUACCAAGCUUGAUUUGAUCCUGAGAUGAUUGUGUGAUGUCCGAGGUUGGUAAGUGAUGCAUGUGAUGGUUACGUAGUAAGCCGAGCAGAAUAAAUAGUGCAUAUAGUGUCUUCAUGUUGCAUGCUAGUAUCGUCGAAUUCAUAUGUUCAUGCUAUGCUCAUGUUGUUCUAGCUGUAUCAUGUUCAUGUUGCGCAAGUCAUGUUGUUACGAGGAUCUCAUGUUAAUUCCUCCUUAACCUGUAAAUGCCAUGCUGAUGUUUGUCUUGAAUGCUUCUGGUUAAUGUGAGCUUGCAAGUACAUUCAAUGUACUGACCUGGCAUGUCAUGCCAGCUUGCAGGUCGUGCCUGGAUUUCUUGCUUGUUUGGUGUUGUUCCUGUGUUUGCGAGCUAGGAUAAGCAUUCCAGCCAGAGUCCCUGCGGAGUGGAGUUCACCACCGUCGUCGUUGUUCCGCCGCCAGUAGUUGUUGCGCUGCCUCAACUUGCUAUGCUGCUUGCAUAGAGCAACUGAGGAUGGCGUAGUGUCGUCGUGCCGAUGUUAUUCAUUGUAAUAUCGGAGACCUUGUAUUCAUAUUCGUGUAUUAAUAGAAAGCUGGUUUGUUCUAUGCUAAGCAGUGCCGUAUUCCAGAAGACUUCACCUCGAUCUCUAGGCUGGAAUACGGGGCGUUCCGGUUUUCUCUGAGCCGGGGUGCCACAGGCUUGGUAUCAGAGCAGGUCUGGCUGUAGGAUGCCCUAGCCCGCCCGAACGUUAGAAAGCGGUAGUAUAGACCCCAGUUGGUUUGUUGCAUUUGUUUGUCGCAUAGCAUGUAUAUAGAUUAUUAUUUUGUCACUAACGGUUGAUCUUGUGAGUGUAGGCGGCAUCGUUUUCGGUCCACCGCCUGCACCCUCCUUCUUAGCAUGCCUGCUCUUCGGUGUGAUUCGACCACAUCAUCAUCCAUUGCCCUCCAUCUCGUUCUUUUGGCAACCCUUGCUGAUCUUUGUUAUCAGAAAAGGGUAAUGCCAUUAAACCCCGUCUUCCACUGUUAUCUUGCCUUGUCAUUUCAUUCUUUGGACGGGUACGAUUCCCUUCGUACGCUUGAUGAUGAGGUGGUCGUGACUUUUGUGUCUCGCUACUUGAUCGUCAAGUCCGUCCUCACCUGUGUAUCCAUCCAGAUCCAGCCACUGUUCAGCCAGUGCUUGGUGUAGCUUCGGUUACGCCAACUCCUUCCACACAUGGAUAUAAUUUUCGUGCACACCGCCACAGCAUAUUAGACCGUAGUACCGGAGUUUCCAUGUGAUUAGUGUGCUUAGGUGUGCAUGCAUAUUAUGGUGUGAGUAGCAGUAAUAUGUGAAGAUUGCUUGAUUAAUUAUAUUAGUAGUAUGCUUGUGUGCUUUUGUUUUAGUUAUAUCUUUUGUUUGUUUCUUUGGGCCUUUGGUGUUACAAAUUUUCCCCUAUUAAAGUUGCUCGUCAGCCGACACCGGACCCGAAGAGUCAGCAAGAAAUGCAUAUAUUUGGAAACUCGGUUAAACAAGAAUGGAAUUGUCAGCAGACUGCAGUGAAAUUGGAAAUAGCUCGUCUGAAUACAAAAGAAAUCCUGGAUGGAAUGUCAGUAUAAAGUUUGCAUUAACAUGCACUCCUCACAACAGUAUGGAAUUCUCAGCCGACUGCAUUCAGAUUGGGGGAUAUCUGGUCAUGUUACUGAGUGUCAAGUCUCCCUCAGCGUGUACUCCUCAUAGCACAAAUGAUCAAAUCAGCAAGAAGAUAAAUUGUGUGCAUGGUUGAUAAAAUAUUAUCAAAGGUAUGGCUCAGAUACAAGUUUAAUUUUUCGUUGAGGAUCAUUUUGGAACCCGAUGUACCUGGAAGCAAGCAAAAAUAUGGCAUGUACUCAGAAAGGAGGAUAGUCCUGCAAAACCCCGUUUCAUACAAGAAAUCAAGAACAAAAAUUUUAAGAUGGUUAUAUAUGUGGAAAUCGGUUCGCAUAUCACAAUAAGAAGCUUCUGGUGUAAGAAACCCAAUCUUCCCUCGCAAGAUACCCGAGAAGCUUCCAAGGCAAGAUUCAUCUAUCUUCCUCAGUACGAUACAUGGAUGAUUUCCCGUACAAGGUACUCUGCCUUCUUCAGUAAGCUACCGCAAAAGCUUCCGGCAUAAGGUACCGAGUCUUUCCCCAGCAAAGUCUUUAAGGGGGUAAGCUUCUGAAGCACGAUACCCAGUCUUCUUCAGCAAGCUGUCCGAUGAAAGUUUCGAGCACAAACCAGCCAAUCUUCCUCAGUAAGACAUUGGUACAAGGUAGUAUGAUGUGAAUUGAUAGCAUAUGGCAGUGAAUCCCAAGAAUCAGAUCCGCAACAUUUAGGUCAGAAGCAAGAAUCAGUCAGAAUACAUGUCUGUCUCGGGAAUCAGAUUCUCAUAUAUAUGCGGUGAGCAUACCAGCAAGAUCUUACAAGUCACUCAGAUGAGGAUAUGACAACCACGUGAGGAUGGUUAAGAGAAGAAAGCCAGUAUACACCGCAGUGUGACAAAGGAUUAUGAGGAUUGACGACAUCAAUGGCUCAAUGCAAGUACCUGUGAACCUGGAAAAUGAUCCUGAUGAGCCCUUGUCCCCUUUUUUCUCCAAUGAUGGCACCAUGCCUGUGAUCUAAGCUGUUUUUAGCUAUCCGGGGUGGAUGCCGAUUUUUUAUUUCUCUCUUCAACGACUGUCACGAGUUCUGAGCUGCUUUUCGGCCGUCUCAUACAGCUGUUGAGUUUCUUUUUGUGACAGUAGCCCUAUAGCUGCUUUUUGGCUAUUUUAGGGAGCUGCCACCUUCUUCUUAUCAACCCGAUCUCAUGUUCUGAGCUGCUUUUCGGCCGUCCUGCGCCAUGGUUGAGUUAUUUCAGUAAUGUCCCAGAUCUGAGUGGUAAAGACCAUUCUGGUGGCUACUGAUUUAUUUGUCGAUUUCUUGCAAAGGUUUGGAUGAUCAUUUUCCUGCGGUCAGAAUUUGAGGGGUGUUGAACCUGCCAUUUAAUGGGGUACCCUGUCAGAAAAAUGAGGAUAAGCUGCGAUUGCCGAAAAAUUGCACUGACAGUACCUAUGGUGAUACGAAGAAGCAAUAUGACCCAGCUCUUUCAGCCAAGGAUCCUGGCCAAGAAAACAAUAAUGAAGGAGCAAGACCAGUGAUGCAGGUAUGAAAAUUGUUGCAAGACCCGCGUGGUGCAGAACCACCGUCAGUCAAGUCUACAGAUAUUAUCAUACAAGUCAAACUCUUAUGCUAGCCACGACAGGCGACAAUCAAAUAUUUGGUACGGAUCCGAUACUCAAGACAGUGGAACCAGUUAAGAUGAUUCAGAAACUUCCGCGAUAAGCCAGAAUUUGUCAGGAAAGCGGUUAUGACCCAACUCGCUGUUUGGAACCCGAAGGACCUGCAUUUAGUGGAGAAACCCAAUGCAAGGAUUUAGAGCUUGGGUGUCCACUAGAAAAAAUCUGAUCACCACUUCAUGAAAGAUUGUCAAUGCCGGAUGACACACCCAGCAGAAAUCACUCUUGGAUUUGUGAAACCGACGUAUAUUUCAGUCGUGAGAAUCCAUCACAGUCAGCUAAGUCAGCAGAUCUAAAAAGAAAUUGGAGCCUGUAUAAGCAUGAACAAGCAAGGUAAGAUCUGUCAGAAUAUGGAUAUAUUAAAGCAAACCACCCCAGGACCAGUCAGAUAAAAAUUUAGGGGGGACAAAAAUAAGAAAAAGGAUACCCGAGUUGGAAACGGUUUCCUUAAGUCAGUAUCUUCAUACUUGUUCCCUGAGCAACCAAAUCUCGAGGACGAGAUUUCUUUAAGGGGGUAAGGUUUGUAACAGCCUGAUUUUUGGCCCUUUCUUUUUCUUUUGUUUUUCUGAGGUUUUUGCUUGAGUUUUCUUUUUCCGUGGCUUUGUGGUCUGGAAACUGAACAAGAUGCCCUCUUGUUUAUUUCCAGAGUGGCUUGUCAUUCCCAAAUCCUUCCCUAGACCCCGUCAUUUUCAUCCUAGCCCAAAUCCCAAUAUUCUUUUCAUUGGGAAUAUUCCUUUUCUACUAAAGGAAUAACUCAAGUUGCCCUAGGUUGUGAAGCAACCUUUACUUCCAUCACUCCUAAAAUUCCCAAAUAAUUCUCAUAAAUUUUUUGGGUCAUAUCUUUCCCAAAUAUGGUAAAAUAUUUCAUUUGUCAUGUUUAUCAUCAUGCUCAAAUAAUUCAUUUCCUAUUCUACCCUAAAUGGCACAUUGUGAAGCAAGUGCUAUUUUCCUUUUCCCAAGUGACCUCAAACUCCUUGGACACCUUUUCCUGUCCAUAUCAUUGCCACAUGCCAAAAUUCAACCUCAUUUGGCUAGUAAUUAUUUAAUUAUGAUUUUCCAAAGUUUCUAUCCAGAAAGAAGCUUUGUGAAGGAGGUGCAAUCUAGGCAUAUCCAAAUGAGUUUCCAUUUUGCAUGAUCCCUCAUAUCAUCAUAUCAUAGCCCACCACCAAAGUAGAGCUCAUGUCAUGCCUCCAUGUGAGCUCAUCUUCAAUUCUUUGAUUUUGUCCAAACUUUCAGCUUGUGAAGCAAGUAUAUUUUAUCUUGCUCCAUUAUGGCUGCCAAUUUUUCUAGGCCUUCUGUUAUCCAUAUAACCUACCUCCACCCAUUUUGGGCAUCUCUCAUCAAGCCAUUAUUUCUCUAGAAUGUUUCCAAGAUUCUGCACAGAAAUGAUGUUUGUAAAGAAAGUACCAUUUUAGAUGGUCCAUUUGGUAUGAGCUUUUUACAGCAUCUUUAUAUUUCCAUAUCAUGAGGAUUUGCCAAGUUGCAUCCCAUUCCAUAACUCCAUGUGAGUGCAUCAUCCAAAUCAAGUUUCUGGACCAAAAAUGCAGUUGCAAAGCAACCCUAUUAUUUAUUGGUCCAUUUCUUCUCUAAAUCUCCAGUAUUGUAGUUCUUCCUUAGUUAAACCUCCCAGACAACUCCUUUGACCUCAAUCAAGUCUCUGUGGAUUAGCAGUGCUCGUCCAAGUUUACUGCAGUAAACUUCAGAGCUUGAUUACCAUUUAACCAGAGAGAUUUUAACCAAACUACCACCGCAGUAGGAACCUCCCCUGGAUGAACUUGCCACUAGACAACACGCUCCAGCUCAUUUCCCCCGCUACAUGCCAGUGCACGCGGUGACCGCGUUAAUGGCAAGCCUGUGCGCGCGCUCUGCUACAAUUGGCCACACCGAGGAUGGAUUCUUGCUCGGGCCCCUCCUCCUCUCAUCGUCUUAGCACGCGUGAGCAUGUCCCUUGGCUUCACCUCGUCGUCGCCGAUCACAUGGACCCCGCUCCCCCUCAGGCAGCUUCCUCACCGACGAAAGCCGCAGCGUGCCCACGGGCGCACAGUGGCGUUUGGCUCGGUUCAUCGCCGUCGCCUUCCUCCCUGCGCUCCGUUGGCCUCCUCUGCCCCGUGAGACACUCCACUGCUCCUCCCCCGUCGUCUACCAGCGAGCUCAUGCGCGUGCACACGCGUCCGCGGCACCGGACACGCGUCCGCGGCGGCGCCAGCGCGACACUCCCUCGCCCGGCUAUAUAUAGCCAUCCCCGCGGCCUCCCGAGCACCUCAUCAGCCUCGCCUCACUCCCAGCUUCCUCCUCGUCCACUAGCCCGAGCUCGAGCAGCUCUCCUCGACCCCCAUCGCCGCCAUGCCCGCCGCUCUGCUCAGCUCAAAUUCGAGCUGGGCAGUGCCCCUCCCCCUCUCUUUCCACCACCAGUAGACUCCUCCUCCACCUAGACUUCGCCCCCGUGCUCUCCCUCCCCUCCGGUGGCCUUCUGCCAUGAGCUCGCCGCCGACCGAAGAUCGCCGUCCGCCGCGGCUGGCCUCCCGCUCAGCCGAGCCCUACCCCGCGGCUGCAUCUUGCCUGGAUGGAUCCGCCUCGUCGCGCUGAUCAUGCCGGUAGGUCGCACGCCGCGAGAGGUGGCCGGAGUGGCCGGGAAUCCGCGUCGGGCCGUCGGUCUCGUCUCUACAUCGCGGGCGAGCGGGAGGAGGAAGAAGGAGCCAGGCCAGGCGGGCCCCAUCUCCACGCGGCCCCACCUGUCGGCGGGCAGGCGUUGACCCCGCCUGCCUAGCUGGAUAAGUGAUGGGCCCCACAGCCCGUGGGACCCGCACGUCAGCGACCCCACGCCCGGCCCCGCCACUGUCCACGUGGAUAAGUGGAAGCGUACUUCGCAGAAGUACGUUUUCGCCUUCAGAAAGCGUAUUUCUCUUCUGCUCUAGUCGUAAGUGCGCUUUCAUAGUUUGAAAACUAUUUUCUUCUUAGGCGCCUUCUGUUUUCUCACUCAGGGGCCUGUUUGUAGAGAUUCUUUUACAAAUCGGUCCCUGAACUUCGUCGGGCUAUAUCUUUUUACUCCCAACUCCAAAUGAGGUGAUUCCAAAGCCCAUUUCUUUGUCUCGUCGAGCCCGUUAUGUUGGUUUCAUUUUCACUAUGGUUUGACACUGUGAAAAUGACCCUUUUUUCCCUUGCCCGUAAACAGCCCCUCCGAGAGAGAACUGUUUCCGGCAAAUCUUUCCGCGAGCUUCUCGCACUUCUUCCCUGUGUUUUCUUCAUCCCCAGGCAAGCCACAAUACCCACUUGCAUGAUAGUCAUGCAGUAGCCAUGGUUUUCAACUUGAAUAUUUAUUAAAUGAUUGCUUGUUUAAAAUAUGGUUAUCGUUGUUUUGGUAAUGCUUCUGGGUUAGUGCUUACUUGCUUGAUAUGUUGUUAUGCACCUGGUUAUCAUGCCCUGCUAGUUGCUAGUAUUACUUUCAUAUUUCCAUGCUUGAUAGUAGUACAUGUUGGGUUGGUCAUGUUCUUCGGUGCAUGAUUAACGUCGGUUAUCGAGUACUGUUAAUAUGCGUUCUUCCUUUGCUGUUAGUUGGUUAAGUGUUACUCGGUAAUGUUAUUGAUGAGUUCUUGCAUGGUAUUUAUGGUUGAUGCUAGUGGUCAUGUUUUACUAUGAGUAGUGUUGCACUUGUAAUAGUUAUGCUCGUCAUUAUGCCAUGUUCAGUUGGAGAUUAUUCAUAGUUGAUAUGGUGGAUCGUUAUGUUGUACCCUCAUGCUUAUGUUGAUCUCAUGCUCAUGCUUUGUAUAUGCAUCAUGUUAUUUUAUCAUGGCUCAGCAUAUUGCAUUCAAGUUUAACCAGAUUAAGUUCAACUUGAACAACUGUUGGCUGAGUCAUGGUGCCACCAUAUCGAAACUGACCAGUGCAACCACGCUUACCUUAUGGGAAGGUCCUAACUGGGUCUAUUGUCGUGCCUCUCGCCGGUGCCUCCAACGAGGGAAGGUUAUGGGCGCGCGCUACCCUGAUCAGGUAGGCGGACAUAACCUUGUGUGCCCGUUGUUGUUAUUAUGGAUCCGGUCCCCGUGAGGGACGUUUUGGCCACGACAGUGGUCGUUGUGUCUUUGGUAGAUACGGGGCCACCCAGGACUAGCCCAGUUGGGAGUGGGUCGGAGUGGCCGGGAGAGUGUCAUGGCAAUAGAUCGGUUUUGUCGGAAUGCCGUUGGUCCACCCGAAUGGGAGUGCGAGGCCAUGGGUUCCGUGGUGUGGGUACAGUGUACUAACCUCUGCAGAGUGUAUAUUAAAUCUAUCGAUAGCCGCGCCCGCGGAUAAGGGCCCAGUUCGUGUCGGUCACACCGUGAGUCAACAGUAUUAAUAAUAACUUGAUUAAUGACAACCCCGGUUCGAUGAUGAGAUAAGUUGGUUGUGAUCGCCGGAAAGAUCACCGUUUGAGACCAAGUGUUGGUCAUGGUUGUGAUCGCCGAAAUGAUCACCGUGGUAUCGAGGAUACCGAGUUGUUGGAUAUUCGUGAUGUUGUGCGAGAAUCAUGGGUAAAGAUCAAGCUCCUUGUGGUCAUUUAAUGAUUACUACGGUAUUGUUGAUACCAAGCUUGAUUUGAUCCUGAGAUGAUUGUGUGAUGUCC